Long non-coding RNA from Ictalurus punctatus (channel catfish), 660 nucleotides. Lineage: Eukaryota; Metazoa; Chordata; Actinopteri; Siluriformes; Ictaluridae. The record is from Ensembl.
CUCAGGAUGAAGAGCAGUUGUGUGUGUGGAUGAGGGGGAAAGUGAGGGAUGUGCACUCAGAGAUGGGGUGCAGGAAGAGUUGCAGUUGUGUGCGUGUGUGUGUGUUUGUGUGUCUGGGUGGGUGUGAGGAAGAGGGGGCAGAUGAGGGAUGUGCACUCAGGGCAACGGUGCACGUGAUGUCUCAGGAUGAUGAGAAGUUGUGUGUGUGUGUAUGUGUGUGUGUGUGUAUGAGGUGGCAGGUGAGGGAUGUGCACUCAGGCAAAGGGUGCGGGUGAAGUCUCAGGAUGAAGAGAUGGUCUGUGUGUGUGGAAGAGGGGUCAAGUGAGGGAUGUGCACUCAGGUUUCUUCACAUCGUCAUCAUAUUUGGUCAGUCUCAUCUAAAGGCAUUGACUAUGCUAAUUUGAGAAGCUUUCGAGUUUUCACUGCAUGGCGUGGGUAUGGCGGUCUCACAAAUUUCAAUGUUUCACCAUGAAAAAGGCAGUUGUUAUAACUCAAACAUACACUGUCCAAUCUGUUCCAAACUUCACGUUUGAUAAAAGUUCAGGCCUGAAGUCAUCUACAUGCCAAUAAUUACGUAGUCAUAGUGCCACCUAGUGGCAACAACCAAUUCUUGGCCAUGCAUUUUAACAAACUCCUCCUAGAGAUUUCAUCUGAUCAACA